UAGGGAAUCUUCCGCAAUGGGCGAAAGCCUGACGGAGCAACGCCGCGUGAGUGAUGAAGGUCUUCGGAUCGUAAAACUCUGUUAUUAGGGAAGAACAAAUGUGUAAGUAACUAUGCACGUCUUGACGGUACCUAAUCAGAAAGCCACGGCUAACUACGUGCCAGCAGCCGCGGUAAUACGUAGGUGGCAAGCGUUAUCCGGAAUUAUUGGGCGUAAAGCGCGCGUAGGCGGUUUUUUAAGUCUGAUGUGAAAGCCCACGGCUCAACCGUGGAGGGUCAUUGGAAACUGGAAAAAUUGAGUGCAGAAGAGGAAAGUGGAAUUCCAUGUGUAGCGGUGAAAUGCGCAGAGAUAUGGAGGAACACCAGUGGCGAAGGCGACUUUCUGGUCUGUAACUGACGCUGAUGUGCGAAAGCGUGGGGAUCAAACAGG
Molecule: ribosomal RNA, 429 nt
Filed under: Actinomycetes bacterium
Lineage: Bacteria; Bacillati; Actinomycetota; Actinomycetes
Description: Actinobacteria bacterium partial 16S ribosomal RNA
Rfam family: Bacterial small subunit ribosomal RNA
Source: RNAcentral